Molecule: long non-coding RNA, 2329 nt
Filed under: Xyrichtys novacula (pearly razorfish)
Lineage: Eukaryota; Metazoa; Chordata; Actinopteri; Labriformes; Labridae
Source: RNAcentral
GAUUUGGGGUCUCCUUUCUUGUUUUUUUAACGCCAUGAUACUCCAGUUUUUCUCCAGUUUAGCACAGAGACUCUUCUCCUACAGAGCCAAGCUGUUGUUAUGUGUGCACACUGUUGUCUCGCUGAAAUAUGAAAGUCUUCUUCUAAAAGAUGUUCUCUGGAUGUCCACAGAUGUUGCUAAAAAAUAAAAACAGUAUUUUCUGUUCAGUAUGAAUGGAUAACGGGUUCAUGUGCAUCCACAAACCAUCAUGGAUACAGAGUCUGUGGGCCUCUGUCUGGCUUAAAUAAGCUUCCUAAUGUGUCAAAAAGCUUAUUUUCACAGGAAAAAUUUUAUUUAUAACACACUUUACAUUUAAAAUAAUCUCAAAAUGCAUAGAUAAUGUAUCUGAUGCAUUUAGUGGUUUCUCAUUUGUUUUGUUACGUUUAUAUUUUUCACCCUGACCGCCCUAAACAGACAAAAACACCCUCCUGUCACCUACACAUGUGUGUGUUUUGUUAUUACAGGCGCUCAGAAAUGAGGAGGAGUGUGUGUUUGUUUAUGUGUGUCUCUCACUGUGCCUAUUUAAUGCAUUUAUUUACGUUUUAUUUAUUCACACCUUAUCACAUGACUCCGGCGCAGGGAUCCAAUUUCAAUGUCUGUUACCAUGGUUACGCCCUGCCUGGGCUGUAAAUAAAUUCAGGGGGUUUGUAACACUGUUACAUUGAUUAAAAACACACACACACACACAUUCUGCAUCAAAUUUUCUACCACCGGGCGAGUGCAUAGAGAUUCCCUGUUCAUUAUAUCAUUUAUGCAUGUGUGUGUUUUUGUGUGUUUGUGAGAGACACAGUUGUAGUGCUGAAAUUGUUCGUGUGUGUGUGUAUUAUACUGAAGAAUUAUCAUAUCUCACUUCAUUGCAGCUCCCCGUCCUCGUAAGUGGAAACAGAUACAAAUCUCCAUCCCCUCGAGCCCCUGAUUAAGUUAUGCUAAUCAUUGCUGAUCAUUACUGCGGCUAUAACCGCUUUCUUACGCCUUUUUAUCCAACAUUCAGCCUCCAAAAAGGGACAUUAACCCUCCGUCAGGAUGCAAAAUUGGGCGUAGGGGUUCACUGACCACUUAAUUGCUUAAUUAGCCAUAAACAAAUUAGACUCCAGUCCCGUGUGUGUUGUGAGAGGGUGCAGUGCAGUGGUGUAAAUCUUCCCCCCCCCUGUGCCUCAGAAAAAUAUUGUGAGUGGGUUUCAGCGGGCGCCCCUCACCCCUAAAUCUUCUCUCCUCAGUGAAAGAUGAUUAUCGGCUCUUUCUCCGUCAGUCUGAAUCUGUAAUGUGAUGCAGUGUAACAGGACUGGACUGAUUGAAGAGGGACAUCAGGAUUAAUCUCACUGUGUAAUUACUUUUAUGAUUUAUGCCACCCUGUACACACACUCACACACACACUCUCUCACACACACACGGGGGACUCCUGCCUCCACAGUCAAAGCUGAUAAAUGUCUGAACAUGUGCCAGCACUCACUCUCGGUGCGUCAUUGUCCUGACCUUGCUGUUUAUUGUCUUUUUUUAUGACCAUGUAUGGACUUGAUGUAAUGAAACACUGUGAUUUGUCCAGCCUGUCACAUCCGGCGUUAAAACGGCGAGUGAGUGACUGCUUUACAGCCCCCCUCCUGAUAAAUCUCCGAGCAUGCUGGGAGCUGUUGUUCGUGCGAGUGAGGCCGUGCCAGCGUUUGAUCUUCUCUGUGAGAGGUUAACCUGAUUUUGAUUGAGUGUUGAAACCCACCAGUGAGGCUGUUUUGACUGAUAGACACUGAAGGACGACUAAUCAAUAUGUGGUGGUGAUGACGGGGUAAAAAAUCAUGGGAUGCACACCCCUCCCUUUCACUUUCCUUUUUUUUCUAUCCUAGUGUGGAUAAUUUGUUAAAAGAAGCACACAUGAGCUGACAUGAAGGUGGAAGGAGGGUAUAAACAAAAGGAAAGCAGCGAGCUGGAGCAGAAAUAUCGUCUUUUCAUCAGGAGUGUAAUCCUGGAGGGGUUGCUCUCGACUCUUUUGAUGUUUAAGGAAGAAAAAAAUUACUCCGUCGGCCUUAAAUCCGGCGACUGCAAGCAUUUGGAAAGUGAUUCAGUUUGGCAGGAAGAGUGCGAUGAUUUCAGCUGGACUUAGGGCUGGGCGAUAUGAGGAAAAGUUUAUCACUAUAUAUUUUUUUCAUAUCAGUCGAUAUUAGGGAUGUGCAUCUCCAUUACUGUGGUGAUUAGAUACCCAUCUCGAUGCACUGCCGAUGAUACGAUAUAAUUUGUGAUACACUGAAUCCCUGCCGAUACGAUACUCAACGAUUCACCCCUGUUCUCGAUACGAUACGAU